RNAcentral lists this ribosomal RNA (199 nucleotides) under Escherichia coli. RNAcentral describes it as "partial 16S ribosomal RNA". It matches the Rfam family "Bacterial small subunit ribosomal RNA", at positions 1 to 207 of the family's 1533-position model. Lineage: Bacteria; Pseudomonadati; Pseudomonadota; Gammaproteobacteria; Enterobacterales; Enterobacteriaceae. The record is from RNAcentral.
AAAUUGAAGAGUUUGAUCAUGGCUCAGAUUGAACGCUGGCGGCAGGCCUAACACAUGCAAGUCGAACGGUAACAGGGAUCAGCUUGCUGAUUCGCUGACGAGUGGCGGACGGGUGAGUAAUGUCUGGGAAACUGCCUGAUGGAGGGGGAUAACUACUGGAAACGGUAGCUAAUACCGCAUAACGUCGCAAGACCAAAGA